Ostrea edulis (European flat oyster) is the source of this 811-nucleotide long non-coding RNA. RefSeq lists it as uncharacterized. Lineage: Eukaryota; Metazoa; Mollusca; Bivalvia; Ostreida; Ostreidae. The record is from RefSeq and is a predicted model, not a curated record. The transcript is spliced from 3 exons.
AUUAUUUUUUGGAAUUCCGUACAUCGCCAUAGAGUAGUUGAAAAACAAAAAGGGGUUCCGAAAGUACAAGUUGUUGCUGUGACUGAAUCGAUGAUAGAGAGGGUCGUCUCGACGAAAGAUAUAGAAAUUUGGCCAUAGUUUAGAUUAGGAAUACGUCAAUGUAAUAAUAGUGGACUAAAUGUUUCGUCCGUGCAGAAUGGCACUUUUUACCUCACGAAAUUCACCACCAUGCAUAGCUGCGCUACGUAAACAAAGUUGUUGAUGUAGCGUGAUCGUGAUGUCCGAGUGCUGCGAGUUUCAAUACUGUUUAUGUAGUCAUUGAGAGUUUAAACAAAGUUUCUUCUGAGAAGAGGAAUUCGAUGGAUGCAUUCAACGUGGACAACGAAAUCAUAAUUUCGUUUGCAUCAUCCUAAGGACCAGUGCAAGUUGAAGUGGGCUUCCAGCCAACAACUUCAACAGCAAUUUGCCAUGAAAAUCAGCAAGAAAGGUACUUCAUUUACAUUGAUGAUGUCAUAUCCCCUGGACCCCACAACUUUACAGGUUACAGAGAAAAUUCAAGAACUUCUGCACAAUGUGGGACUCGGAUAGAAUCAAUAAUGUAUUUGUGAGCCCAGAUAUAUUGUGCAACAUACUAAAGUGUGAAUUUAAUGGAAAACAAGUACAUGUACUCAUGUAUUACAUGUCUUUUUUAAAGACAAUAAUAUUGUAUAAAUAUAGAGGAAGUGUCAUUGUUGAUUAUUCUAAGUUUUUGAUAUACCAAAAUCAGUAAACAUUUGUAAAUGAAAAUAAAAUACCAAUUUUAUAACUUUAA